CUUUAUCCAAGUGUGUGUCUCCCUGCGGCGUUUGCGCUCGACGUCCCUGUGGCUGCGUGUCCCAGGCAGAUGGCGGCCCCCGAGCAGCCGCUGCCCAUGUCCAGAGGAUGCCCGAGCUCGGCAUCGCUUUCUCCGCCGCGGGGCGACCGAACCCUGCUAGUACGGCACCUGCCGGCCGAGCUGACCGCGGAGGAGAAAGAGGACUUGCUCAAGUAUUUCGGGGCGCAGUCCGUGCGCGUCCUGUCCGAUAAGGGGCGACUGAAACAUACAGCUUUUGCUACUUUUCCUAAUGAAAAAGCAGCUAUAAAGGCAUUGACAAGACUCCACCAGCUGAAACUUUUAGGUCAUACUCUAGUUGUUGAGUUUGCAAAAGAGCAAGAUCAAGUUCAUUCCCCAUGUCCCUCUUCAGGCACUGAAAAAAAGAAAAGGUCUGAGGACCCUGAGGAGGAAGAGAAAGAAAAGAAGGAACUUGGUUGUUUAACUGUAGAAAAUGGGAUCGCACCAAGCCAUGGGCUGACGUUUCCUCUAAACUCAUGCCUCAAAUACAUGUACCCGCCGCCGUCAAGCACGAUCCUAGCGAACAUCGUGAACGCUUUGGCAAGCGUGCCUAAGUUCUAUGUACAGGUGCUUCAUCUUAUGAAUAAAAUGAAUUUGCCCACACCUUUUGGACCAAUCACCGCACGACCCCCCAUGUAUGAAGACUACGUGCCGUUACACGCUCCCCUGCCGCCCACGUCUCCCCGGCCACCGGAGGAACCGCCUUUGCCAGAUGAGGACGAGGAAUUGUCUAGCAAAGAAUCCGAGUACGAAAGCAGUGACGAGGAAGACCGGCAGAGAAUGGCCAAACUAAUGGAAUUAGCAAAUCUUCAGCCCAAAAGACCGAAACCAAUAAAGCAGCGCCAUGUGAGAAAAAAGCGAAAAAUAAAGGAUAUGUUGACUAUACCUGCGCCUGUUUCACACAGCAGCGCGCACCCUGCGCUCUCACCGUCAGAUGUGUUUGACCAGCCACAGCCAGUGGGGAGUAAAAAAAUCGAGUUCCAUAUAAACACCGACAUGCCAGCUGCAUUCAGGAAGGAUUUAGAAAAGGAGCAACCAUGUGAAGAACAAAAUCGUGAUUUACCUGCUGCUGAAGGGGACGAAUCCAGCAUAGGAUUUGGAAAAAUCUUCCCCAAACCGAAUGUGAAUAUCGCAGAGGAAAGCAAAGAGGACUCUGAUGAGAUGCCUUCGGAAUGUAUUUCUCGGAGGGAGUUGGAAAAGGGCAGAAUUUCUAGAGAAGAAAUGGAAACACUUUCGGUUUUCAGAAGUUAUGAACCUGGUGAACCAAACUGUAGAAUUUAUGUAAAGAAUUUAGCUAAACAUGUUCAAGAAAAGGACCUUAAAUUUAUUUUUGGAAGAUAUGUUGACUUUUCAUCUGAAACACAACGAAUAAUGUUUGACAUUCGCCUGAUGAGGGAAGGCCGCAUGAAAGGGCAAGCGUUCAUUGGGCUCCCCAACGAGAAAGCAGCCGCGAAAGCCUUGAAGGAAGCGAAUGGCUAUGUUCUUUUUGGGAAGCCUAUGGUGGUUCAAUUUGCUCGAUCUGCUAGACCAAAACAAGAUUCUAAAGAAGGAAAAAGGAAGUGUUAAAAAUUGAUAAAGAAAGUGAGAAGACAUUAAACUGCCUUCUGCUGCUCUUCCUUAGAAGCCUUCCUGCGUAACACUGCCGUAGCUCUGUCAUACAAAGCGUAUCCUUUCUUGUUGAAGAAGCAAAGAGUAACAGAGGUGGAAGACAGAAUAUUGACCCAGGGUAGCACAUUAAGUGAAAAGAAACAAUCUCGGUGGGUAUGUAAGAACAGUGGUUUCCAGACCAGUUCACGGCCAGAAUCACCUGGAACUGGUUCUCAAUCUUGAAUGUAUAUGGAAAUGACCUAGGAAGCUUUUAAAAACUCCUGAUUAAAAAGUAAAACAAAGAGCUACCUUAAAAAAAUAUACUGAAGCCUGGGUUCCUGACCCCAAGUUUUGACUUUCUGAUUUGGUGGGCAACAUAGAUGCUGGUUGAGAACUGUGGAGGAAGGAGUUUUAGACAUAAAGAUUACUGAACUCUGUCCUAGAAUGAAUAAAUCGGAACCUACAGGAAUGGGACAAAGAAUCUAACCUGAAAAGCUUGCCUUGGUGUAGUUAUAAGGAUUCACCAGUUUGGAGACUAGUGUGUGAGAUUAAAAUGGUUUGGUGCCUGAUACCAACCUAGCCGUCCAGCCUUUUGUAAGUAGGAAAGUAGAGGUUGGUGUCUCUGCUUUUCCUUCUUACAAAUCCUGCAGUUACCAGAACUGUCAAAACAAUUUUUAAAAAAUCUUUUAGUAAUCAUUCUUUC
Pteronotus mesoamericanus is the source of this 2347-nucleotide RNA transcript. It is a transcript of the gene named RNA binding region (RNP1, RRM) containing 3, with no coding region annotated. The record is from RefSeq and is a predicted model, not a curated record. The transcript has 16 exons. Lineage: Eukaryota; Metazoa; Chordata; Mammalia; Chiroptera; Mormoopidae.